Molecule: ribosomal RNA, 245 nt
Filed under: uncultured Anaerolineaceae bacterium
Lineage: Bacteria; Bacillati; Chloroflexota; Anaerolineae; Anaerolineales; Anaerolineaceae
Description: partial 16S ribosomal RNA
Rfam family: Bacterial small subunit ribosomal RNA
Source: RNAcentral
CACGUAGGAGCCAAGCGUUAUCCGAAUUCACUGGGCGUAAAGCGCGUGCAGGCGGCUCGGUAAGUUGGAUGUGAAAGCUCCCGGCUCAACUGGGAGAGGACGUUCAAUACUGUCGGGCUAGAGGGCGACAGAGGGAGGUGGAAUUCCCGGUGUAGUGGUGAAAUGCGUAGAUAUCGGGAGGAACACCAGAGGCGAAGGCGGCCUUCUGGGUCGUACCUGACGCUCAGACGCGAAAGCUAGGGGAG